RNAcentral lists this ribosomal RNA (363 nucleotides) under uncultured bacterium. RNAcentral's name for it is "bacterial SSU rRNA". It matches the Rfam family "Bacterial small subunit ribosomal RNA", at positions 150 to 507 of the family's 1533-position model. The record is from RNAcentral.
GACGAAAGUUACGCUAAUACCGCAUAUUCUGUGAGCAGGAAANCAGGGGAUCGCAAGACCUUGCGCUGAUUGAGCGGCCGAUAUCAGAUUAGCUAGUUGGUGAGGUAAAGGCUCACCAAGGCGACGAUCUGUAGCGGGUCUGAGAGGAUGAUCCGCCACACUGGAACUGAGACACGGUCCAGACUCCUACGGGAGGCAGCAGUGGGGAAUUUUUGGACAAUGGGCGCAAGCCUGAUCCAGCCAUGCCGCGUGAGUGAAGAAGGCCUUCGGGUUGUAAAGCUCUUUCAGCCGGGAAGAAAACGCAUGGGUUAAUACCCUGUGUGGAUGACGGUACCGGAAUAAGAAGCACCGGCUAACUACGUG